CACGUAGGGCGCAAGCGUUGUCCGGAAUUAUUGGGCGUAAAGAGCUCGUAGGCGGUCUGUUGCGUCCGCUGUGAAAACUCGGGGCUUAACCCCGAGCCUGCAGUGGAUACGGGCAGACUAGAGGUAGGUAGGGGGAGAAUGGAAUUCCCGGUGUAGCGGUGAAAUGCGCAGAUAUCGGGAGGAACACCUGUGGCGAAAGCGGCUCACUGGACCACAACUGACGCUGAUGCACGAAAGCUAGGGGAGCAAACAGG
This 254-nucleotide ribosomal RNA is filed under the name uncultured bacterium. RNAcentral's name for it is "partial 16S ribosomal RNA". It matches the Rfam family "Bacterial small subunit ribosomal RNA", at positions 524 to 776 of the family's 1533-position model. The record is from RNAcentral.